RNAcentral lists this non-coding RNA (108 nucleotides) under Clostridium cavendishii. Its description in RNAcentral is "SAM-I sequence". It matches the Rfam family "SAM riboswitch aptamer (S box leader)". Rfam says of the family: The SAM riboswitch is found upstream of a number of genes which code for proteins involved in methionine or cysteine biosynthesis in Gram-positive bacteria. The SAM riboswitch acts at the level of transcription termination control. The predicted structure consists of a complex stem-loop region followed by a single stem loop terminator region. RNAcentral also lists the same sequence under 1 other name. The record is from RNAcentral. Lineage: Bacteria; Bacillati; Bacillota; Clostridia; Eubacteriales; Clostridiaceae.
CUUUUAUCAAGAAUGGUGGAGGGACUGGCCCUUUGAAGCCUGGCAACAGCUAGCAGUCAUAAGCUAGAAUUGUGCUAAAUCCUGCAGAUUAAUAUCUGUACUUAAAGG